UGGUGCGGGGAAGACGACUCAAAUGAGGAUUAUUGCUGGUCUUGAAGAACCGGAUUCGGGGAAUGUGAUAAAGGCGAAACCGAAUAUGAAAAUUGCGUUUUUGAGUCAAGAAUUUGAGGUGUCACAGAGUAGGACUGUGAGGGAGGAGUUUAUGAGUGCUUUUAAAGAGGAAAUGGAGGUUGCUGGAAGGUUGGAGAAAGUGCAGAAGGCUCUUGAGGGUUCUGUUAAUGAUUUGGAGUUGAUGGGGAGGCUUUUGGAUGAGUUUGAUUUGCUUCAGAGACGAGCACAAGCUGUGAAUUUGGAUGUUGUUGAU
Molecule: long non-coding RNA, 313 nt
Filed under: Trifolium pratense (red clover)
Lineage: Eukaryota; Viridiplantae; Streptophyta; Magnoliopsida; Fabales; Fabaceae
Description: long non-coding RNA (TPRA_LNC001529)
Source: RNAcentral